AGCGAACGCUGGCGGCAGGCUUAACACAUGCAAGUCGAGCGGGCGUAGCAAUACGUCAGCGGCAGACGGGUGAGUAACGCGUGGGAACAUACCUUUUGGUUCGGAACAACACAGGGAAACUUGUGCUAAUACCGGAUAAGCCCUUACGGGGAAAGAUUUAUCGCCGAAAGAUUGGCCCGCGUCUGAUUAGCUAGUUGGUAGGGUAAUGGCCUACCAAGGCGACGAUCAGUAGCUGGUCUGAGAGGAUGAUCAGCCACAUUGGGACUGAGACACGGCCCAAACUCCUACGGGAGGCAGCAGUGGGGAAUAUUGGACAAUGGGCGCAAGCCUGAUCCAGCCAUGCCGCGUGAGUGAUGAAGGCCCUAGGGUUGUAAAGCUCUUUUGUGCGGGAAGAUAAUGACGGUACCGCAAGAAUAAGCCCCGGCUAACUUCGUGCCAGCAGCCGCGGUAAU
This 452-nucleotide ribosomal RNA is filed under the name uncultured bacterium. RNAcentral's name for it is "bacterial SSU rRNA". It matches the Rfam family "Bacterial small subunit ribosomal RNA", at positions 29 to 524 of the family's 1533-position model. The record is from RNAcentral.